UAAUUAGAGGACUUUCAGUUGUAAUCAGUCUUUUGAAGAAAUGGUUGCAACGUGUCUGGUGAAAGAUCAAACCAAGAGGCCAACAGCUGAGAAACUUCAUUGAAAUAUUUGAGCAGAAUCACGAUACAGUUGAGGCACAAUAAAUAUUUCAAUCCUUGAAAAUAGCUCAUGAUGGUUGGCUUGGCGAGCUAUUCUAUAAGGGAAGUCUGUCGCUGAACUUAUGAUUUCUAUCACUAAGACACAAACAAAAGUGGAACUCAUCCUUUAAGAAUGAUUGAAGUAAUAUCGGGUUGAAAACUAAGCGAUUGUGUAGAUAGCCAGGCGAUCGUUGAAGGUUGAAGGUUGAAUAUUGAGAAGGCAUUUACGAUUUUUCUUAUUUACGUCUUGUAUUAGGAUCUUUUUGAUGUACUGUUGUAGAAUGUAUAU
Molecule: long non-coding RNA, 426 nt
Organism: Cucumis melo (muskmelon)
Lineage: Eukaryota; Viridiplantae; Streptophyta; Magnoliopsida; Cucurbitales; Cucurbitaceae
Exons: 3
Source: RefSeq, a predicted model, not a curated record